RNAcentral lists this ribosomal RNA (477 nucleotides) under uncultured bacterium. RNAcentral describes it as "SSU rRNA". It matches the Rfam family "Bacterial small subunit ribosomal RNA", at positions 26 to 521 of the family's 1533-position model. The record is from RNAcentral.
AGAACGAACGCUGGCGGCAGGCUUAACACAUGCAAGUCGAACGCGUGUAGCAAUACACGAGUGGCGCACGGGUGAGUAACGCGUGGAUAUCUGCCUUUUGGUUCGGAAUAACCCCGGGAAACUGGGGCUAAUACCGGAUGGUUCCUACGGGAUAAAGAUUUAUCGCCAAAAGAUGAGUCCGCGUACGAUUAGCUAGUUGGUGAGGUAAUGGCUCACCAAGGCGACGAUCGUUAGCUGGUCUGAGAGGACGAUCAGCCACACUGGAACUGAGACACGGUCCAGACUCCUACGGGAGGCAGCAGUGGGGAAUCUUGCGCAAUGGGCGAAAGCCUGACGCAGCAACGCCGCGUGUGUGAUGAAGGUCUUCGGAUCGUAAAGCACUGUCGCGAGGGACGAGAAGCCCAUUACAAACAGUGAUGGGAUAGGACGGUACCUCGAGAGGAAGCACCGGCUAACUCUGUCGCCAGCAGCCGCGGU